UGGCGAAACAAGCUCUGAUGGCCACUAGAAUAGAAAUGGAAGUAUUAUACAGUAGAUAUGAAAUGAAGAAGCAAAUAAACAAAGAUGGCAUGUAUUGUGAAAAGUAUAAAGAUGAUAGAAAAAAAAGAGAGGAAAGAGGACAUUAAAAUUAAUUUGAGAUAUAACAAUAAUAAGUAAUAACUGAGCAGCUUUAGAUAAAUAUUUGGAGAACACAGGUUUAAUGAAUAGGAUUUGAAUUUAAUAUAUAUAUAUAUAUAUUAAGCCAGAGGAGCUGAAAACGCAGCGCUGGCUGUAGCAUAGAUUUUCAUUGAGAGGAGGAUGGGGAGGGGGGUAGUAAUUAGAGUCUCUGGAUCGAGUUCACAGUAGAUCAACCAAAAAAAAAAAAAAAUUGGUAGAUGAAGGAUCACGACCUGGUUUUAUGCCCAGGUUUACACCCCUGUUGUUCCUGAUGCGUCCAGUAGGGGGAGGCUGUACAGUAUGAGCUAUCUAUCAGAACAGAAGCGACAAGUAUAAGAGGAAAUCGCUGGAGUUAUUAUUGUUCAGCAAGCGUGCAACGUUGCAACAUUUGUAGUUAAAUGAUUAGCUAAGAGUCGAUGUCAAUUAAUUUUUAUAUGUUAAUAGAUGCAUCUAUAAAUGUACUUAUUGACGGUCAGGUAAAUGUAAGUAGAAACAUUUGCAAGUAACCUUAUGCUAUUUGUUUUCUUUGUUUGAAGAGCUCAGACUUCUGUGUGUGCUAUUUUGAUUGUUUCUCUUGCAGAUUGAAAACGCCUGCACUCGUCUAUGAAGAGGUUUGAGCACAUGUAUAAAUCUUUUUCACAUUGUUUUAUAUCAGCUGUAGUUUAUUUGAGACUUCUGAGAGAGUUUCUUCAUUUCAUAUCUGAAAGGCAAGAGAGAGUCUGCUUAAUGUUUCCUUUUGCUCUCACAGGGCAAAAACAUGUACACUUCCAACAUGCAUGUUAUUGCCACAGUCCCUGUCUACUCUCCAGUCCUGAAUCCACUCUGAAGAGAGAUCUUCUUCUGUCUCUCUGUCUAGUAAUCAGAGCACAGAGACAUCUUUAGGUCCACAGCUAAGAAACAAUUGCCACGUCCAUUAUCUGUGUCCUGGCUUUUGUGGGAAAUCUGUCCAUCCUAAAGACUGAGGAGACAUUUCUGCAAGGACCUGCCAUUUACAUAAAGUACUGUAAGGAUGCUAUAAAAUAAAACACGUCUCAGAUGACA
Cyprinus carpio (common carp) is the source of this 1218-nucleotide long non-coding RNA. NCBI's taxonomy places the organism in Eukaryota, Metazoa, Chordata, Actinopteri, Cypriniformes, Cyprinidae. The record is from Ensembl.